Eriocheir sinensis (Chinese mitten crab) is the source of this 2242-nucleotide long non-coding RNA. RefSeq lists it as uncharacterized. Lineage: Eukaryota; Metazoa; Arthropoda; Malacostraca; Decapoda; Varunidae. The record is from RefSeq and is a predicted model, not a curated record. The transcript is spliced from 3 exons.
UAUGGGCUACCAUUUUUUUCUCCAAAUAUCUUUGCGUUUUAACGGCGGUUAAAUAAAAUAAUAUCUGCAUUACAAAAUAAGUUAUGGUUACAACGCUAAGCAUGCAACGUCCUUAACAAUCAUUACAGUUUUCUGUCCAAUAACUUUUUUAUUCAGUUACUCAAAAUCGCUGUUUGUUAAAUGGUGGUGCAAAUAUGGGCUGCCUAUUUAAGAUAUAAUUAAUGGCGUAUAGAAACGGGUUAAGGGUGGAGAAACUGAGUGCCACAGGUACUACCCUUGAUUAAUUAUUUUUAUAAUUAAUGGCGUAUAUAAACGGGUUAAGGGUGGAGAAACUGAGUGCCACAGGUACUACCCUUGAUUAAUUAUUUUCAUAAUUAAUGGCGUAUAUAAACGGGUUAAGGGUGGAGAAACUGAGUGCCACAGGUACUACCCUUGACUAAAUAUUUUUAUAAUUAAUGGCGUAUAUAAACGGGUUAAGGGUGGAGAAACUGAGUGCCACAGGUACUACCCUUGACUAAAUAUUUUCAUACACAGCCGUAAGUACUCACAGAUUAAUAAAACUUUUUCCAUAUUAGUAUUGUAAUGAAAUGUUUCCCUGUUAUUUUGCUAUAGGAAGAAAUGUUCCCCUAUUAUUUUGUUAUAUGAAGAAAUGUUUCCCUAUUAUUUUGUUAUAGAAAGAAAUGUUUCCCUAUUAUUUUGUUAUCUGAAGAAAUGUUUCCCUAUUAUUUUGUUAUAGGAAGAAAUGUUUCCCUAUUAUUUUGUUAUAUAAAGAAAUGUUUCCCUGUUAUUUUGCUAUAGGAAGAAAUGUUUCCCUAUUAUUUUGUUAUAUAAAGAAAUGUUUCCCUGUUAUUUUGUUAUAUGAAUUAAUGUUUUCCUAUUAUUUUGUUAUCUGAAGAAAUGUUUCCCUAUUAUUUUGUUAUAGGAAGAAAUGUUUCCCUAUUAUUUUGUUAUAUGAAGAAAUGUUUCCCUAUUAUUUUGUUAUAUGAAGAAAUGUUUCCCUAUUAUUUUGUUAUAUGAAGAAAUGUUUCCCUAUUAUUUUGUUAUAUAAAGAAAUGUUUCCGUAUUUUUUUGUUAUAUGAAGAAAUGUUUCCGUAUUAUUUUGUUAUAUGAAGAAAUGUUUCCCUAUUAUUUUGUUAUAUAAAGAAAUGUUUCCGUAUUAUUUUGUUAUAUGAAGAAAUGUUUCCGUAUUAUUUUGUUAUAUAAAGAAAUGUUUCCCUAUUAUUUUGUUAUAUAAAAAAAUGUUUCCCUAUUAUUUUGUUAUAUAAAGAAAUGUUUCCGUAUUAUUUUGUUAUAUGAAGAAAUGUUUCCCUGUUAUUUUGUUAUAUAAAGAAAUGUUUCCGUAUUAUUUUGUUAUAUGAAAAAAUGUUUGGAAAAAAAGCUUUACACUUCUAGUUAUUUACAAUAGUCACACAAAGAUCCAUCCACUCAACUCCUGCACAUUCAUCGUGUGCUCACAGUUAACACAACGUACACUGAACCCACAGCUCACCUCUUUUAUCAUCAGAAAAGUUCCUGUCACAGACAAGGCAGGCAGCACCUUCUCCUGGCUCUUGUAUCCCACCAGACAUUGUCAUCUCACCGUCUUGUAAAAUACCUGCACCACGUUUACUGUCUCAAUCUUGAGUGUAUACUUUCCUAGCAACUUUAUUGUUUCUCUUUAUUGGAGUCUUUUCUUAGGUCUAUUCUUUCUUGAAUAAAAAUCUAAACUCUUCUUCGGUUUCUCCACAUUUGAUUUCACUUAUAUUUAGUUGGUGACUUCUUGUAAGGUUUUCCUCUUAAGAGACACGCCCCAGCUCUCUUUCGACCCCUGUUACUUGUCUUCCUUCUGAUGGCUGGAGCCCGUAUUAGGAAGGGUAGCCCAUACUAAUAGCAUCAAGCCAUAUUUCAAAUAUGAGUAGUAUCAAUAGAUGUUGUAUAUUUGCUAAUAAAAUAUAUGCUGACUUUAAAGUUCAUUUCUUAAACUUAUCACUUGACCUUGGAAAAUAAUUUAAUAAAGAAGCAAGUGCACGGGAAAAAAUGAAAAAAAAUACCUUUGAAAAAAACUUUAACACUGUGAUAAAAAUGAUCAUGGGCGUCACGCAUCUGUCCAGUGGGCUGAUCGCAGCGCAGCUAAAAGCGCCUUCAAAGUAAUGACUCGCAUGUCUCCCUUCAAGAUACAGCGCCUCACACAGCUAGAAUCUCGUUUGCCCAUAUUUACACCCUAGCCCGUAUUUGCACCAUUUUCUCUCUCUCUCUCUCUCUC